AAUUUCCUGGAGUGUUCGCCAGUGAGUUACGUCCCUGAGCCGAUACUUUAAACUUUAUGAAUUGGUUCUCUAUUAUUGGUGUGCAAGCUUAGCUUGACUAAGAAGCCUAAAAAUAAUAACAACUAAUUCCCUUGAACCGUUGGGUUCAAGGACUGCCACUCGCAACGGCACUCUGGGGCCUCU
This 183-nucleotide non-coding RNA is filed under the name Conservatibacter flavescens. RNAcentral describes it as "Bisgaard Taxon 7 6S / SsrS RNA". It matches the Rfam family "6S / SsrS RNA". Rfam says of the family: E. coli 6S RNA was the first non coding RNA to be sequenced, but its function was unknown until recently. Lineage: Bacteria; Pseudomonadati; Pseudomonadota; Gammaproteobacteria; Pasteurellales; Pasteurellaceae. The record is from Rfam by way of RNAcentral.